AGAGUACGUGAAACCGUUCAGGGGUAAACCUGAGAAACCCGAAAGGUCGAAAGGGGAGAUUCAGCGUGUCUCGAUUGCGGCGCUGGACGGUCGUGCGACGGAAGACGUACGCGUCAUCCGCACCUUCCGUUCUCCGAACCGUAGUCGAACGCGUGCACUUCUCCCCCUGUAGGACGUCGCGAUCCGUUGGGUGCCGGUCUAAGGCCCGCAAUGGAGCCCGUUCGGACGGUUUACCGUUCCGGACGAACUUGCGGUGUUUCCCGGUCGGCUCGCUCGACGGUAUACAGAUGGCGCGGGGCCGCUACACAUUAGUUAGCGUCCGACCGGCGGCAAGCGCGCUCGUCGUGACGGUGAUCGGACCUGGUGCCGGUCCUGUCCCCGAGUGGCUGUUCGCUGCCGUGUUCUCGGACAGACCUCGUCGAAACGCCGAUCUGCGACGCUAUAGCUUUGGGUACUUUCAGGACCCGUCUUG
Molecule: ribosomal RNA, 472 nt
Filed under: Ardamimicus cognatoi
Lineage: Eukaryota; Metazoa; Arthropoda; Insecta; Coleoptera; Tenebrionidae
Description: eukaryotic LSU rRNA
Source: RNAcentral